CUCAGUUAUAACCCCAACCGAAGAUUUUAAUGUAAUGUUAUGAUUAGAUCACAUAAGACAUCAAUCUUAUAUAUCUAUAUAUAACAAAAGGAUAGAUUCUAUAUUGCGUAUGCAUGUACCUUCGUAUGUGAACAAACUAUAACUAUCAAGUACAGAGACGGUCUAACGAAUCAUCAAAAUGUGCACUUGUAAACCACAGCCAACGCAAGGAAUAAGCAUAACGCAGAAAUUAAAGUAAAGAACCUGCUCGGAGAGAUUUCCACCCAUCAGAAGGAAUGCCAUUUCUAACUCCUUCGAAUUACCGAACGACAGGGAAAACAAGAAACGUCAUUAAAAUUCCUCCCCCCGGUGUGCAGACCCCCAUCUCGCAAGCUAUUCCAAUUCGAAAUCCGUGGCUCCCAAGCUAGACAUCAGCAUAAAUCCUCGCUGAUCAUUCGCUCCAUCAUGCAACAAACCCGCCCUUUAAUUGCCCUCGACCUGCUCUCCCUGCUGCUGGGUCUGAAUAAUCGGACAAGAACAAGGACGGGUUUGAGUUUCGCCAAGAACAUAUCAUUCUUGCUCAUUCGUCAGUCGUAAUUCAAAGAGAGAGGCGGGGAGAAUGGGGAAAGAGAAAGUGGGUCUGGUGGCGUUAGUGAUAAUUGUGUCGAGCUGGUGUGUUACCUCCUCCUCCUACUCCUCUUCUUCUUCUUUCAGAGGUGAUCUGAGCAGAGGCAAAGCGCCUUCAACUUUCGGGUCGGUAUCGUCGUCGCUGGUUCUCAACCGGGUCGGGUCAUCCGUUGUCCUUCCACUCCACGGCAAUGUUUACCCAACUGGGUACACUUCUUGACCUGUCUUCACUUCAGUUCAGCGUUUCAUUUAUCAGUCAGAGAGAAAGAGAGAGAGAGAGAGAGAGAGAGAGUGGUGAUGGACCUGCAUUUUGGCUUCUUCAAUGAAUUCUUGAAUACCCGUGUGACUCU
Molecule: long non-coding RNA, 956 nt
Filed under: Eucalyptus grandis
Lineage: Eukaryota; Viridiplantae; Streptophyta; Magnoliopsida; Myrtales; Myrtaceae
Description: long non-coding RNA (EGRA_LNC005355)
Source: RNAcentral